Molecule: long non-coding RNA, 301 nt
Filed under: Dasypus novemcinctus (nine-banded armadillo)
Lineage: Eukaryota; Metazoa; Chordata; Mammalia; Cingulata; Dasypodidae
Description: lncRNA (ENSDNOG00000049955.1)
Source: RNAcentral
CAACCUCAUCUCUUGACCUUGGAAAAGCCUUUCUAAUGUGUGAGAGUUCCUUUCAGCCAUCUAAGAACACUGGUCUGCCAGAGUGCUGUGCUGAGAAGAAUGCAGAAAUUGUAACCAGAUUCAGUUAAGAAGAGUGCUGUGAUAAACUAAUAAUGCCUGCUGUGACAUUGAUGGGAGACAUAGCCAGUCUUGGGUUUUACCAUUCCUGGCUUAAAUAAAGCAUUCCCUCCAACACUAGAUUUCAACUAAAAUGUUUUGAAAUGUUUGGCUACUGUGAAGCCAAUUUGAAUCUAUAUGCCAA